AAGUUUACAAGGUGUAGGUCAUCCAUUUUUCUCAUUGUUUUCACAUUGUCAUUUUCUGAAUACUGAUGGGUGUCGAGUCGCUGGCGUUGAUUGAAGGUGAUAGAAUGCAACUGUAUAGUCACUUUUUGUGAACAUAGAGUAAACUACACUUCCUGCUUCUCAGCGGUGCCUUUGACAUACUUAUUUUAAUUUUUUCCAUAUACCCAUUUUCCCUCAAAAAUGAAAUGAAAUUGGUUUGUUUUGAUUUAGAAUGACUUUCAGAUUUAGCACCUUUAUGCCUCCUUCUGAGCUUACAUUAGAAGAACCCUCUCAUUGACUAAAAACGGAGGUUGAUGAAAAUGUAAAGGAAAGUUUACAAAUUGUUUUGGAAAAUGUGGACCACAACUGGAACUUAGUGUAUGAAGAUGGAGAUUUGAAGGUAUACUGACGAGAUUAUGAAGAAGGAGGUAUUGUUCUGGUUCCCAUGAAGGCUACCCAUGUUGUACAGGGUGUCACAGCCAGGGAGAUGGCUCAUUACUUUUUUGACAAAGAUGUCCGCAUGGAUUGGGAGAGUAAGUUUGAUU
Long non-coding RNA from Stylophora pistillata, 563 nucleotides. The record is from RefSeq and is a predicted model, not a curated record. Lineage: Eukaryota; Metazoa; Cnidaria; Anthozoa; Scleractinia; Pocilloporidae.